Molecule: long non-coding RNA, 235 nt
Organism: Fukomys damarensis (Damara mole-rat)
Lineage: Eukaryota; Metazoa; Chordata; Mammalia; Rodentia; Bathyergidae
Exons: 3
Source: RefSeq, a predicted model, not a curated record
CUUUCUCACCCCCUCUACCGUGCCUAUCAUGUGCAGAACUCAGCAGUUUAGGACCCAGGAGCCUAGAAGAACAACAGGGACAGAACCGCCAUGCCUGCUGCCACCUUGGACUCUGAGAAGGACAGACCCGAUCGCCCUGGGCACCGGCAUCCCUCACCUCUCCAGCAACGGCCUGGCCAGCCCUGGGACCCAGCCUUCCAAGACUACUGCACAGUACAUGCUCCGGUCCUGCCCC